Molecule: ribosomal RNA, 468 nt
Filed under: uncultured bacterium
Lineage: Bacteria
Description: partial 16S ribosomal RNA
Rfam family: Bacterial small subunit ribosomal RNA
Source: RNAcentral
GACGAACGCUGGCGGCGUGCCUAACACAUGCAAGUCGAACGGAAAGGCCCUGAUUUUGUGCGGUGGUCGAGUGCCGAACGGGUGAGUAACACGUGAGUAACCUGUACCUGACUUUGGGGUAUCUUCAGGAAACUGGGGCUCAUACCGGCUAGGAUCUAUUGCUGCAUGGUGGGGGUUGGUAAGUUUCGGCGGUUGGGGAUGGACUGGCGGCUUAUCAGCUUGUUGGUGGGGUAGUGGCUUACCAAGGCUUUGAAUGGUAGCCGGCCUGAGAGGGGGACCUGCCACAUUAGGACUGAGAUACGGCCCAGCCGCCUAUGGUAGGCAGCGGUGGAGAAGAUUGCACAAUAGGCGGAAGCCUGAUGCGACAACGCCGCGUGCGGGAUGACGUCCUUCUGGUUGUAAACCACUGUCGCCUGUGACGAGGCGUUAGUGACGGUAAUGGGUAAAGAAGCACCGGCUAACUACGUG